GAGUUUGAUUAUGGCUCAGGAUGAACGCUAGCGGCAGGCCUAACACAUGCAAGUCGAGGGGUAGGGUGCUUCGGCACUUGAGACCGGCGCACGGGUGCGUAACACGUGUACAAUCUACCUUUUGCUAAGGGAUAGCCCGAAGAAAUUUGGAUUAAUACCUUAUAGUAUUGUUUGGUGGCAUCACUAAAUAAUUAAAGCUCUGGUGGCAAAAGAUGAGUACGCGUUCCAUUAGCUAGUUGGUGUGGUAACGGCAUACCAAGGCUACGAUGGGUAGGGGUCCUGAGAGGGAGGUCCCCCACACUGGUACUGAGACACGGACCAGACUCCUACGGGAGGCAGCAGUGAGGAAUAUUGGACAAUGGUCGGAAGACUGAUCCAGCCAUGCCGCGUGCAGGAUGACGGCCUUAUGGGUUGUAAACUGCUUUUAUACAGGAAGAAUAAGGUCUACGUGUAGAUUGAUGACCGGUACUGUAUGAAUAAGCAUCGGCA
Molecule: ribosomal RNA, 489 nt
Filed under: Capnocytophaga canimorsus
Lineage: Bacteria; Pseudomonadati; Bacteroidota; Flavobacteriia; Flavobacteriales; Flavobacteriaceae
Description: bacterial SSU rRNA
Rfam family: Bacterial small subunit ribosomal RNA
Source: RNAcentral